GAUCCUGGCUCAGGAUGAACGCUAGCUACAGGCUUAACACAUGCAAGUCGAGGGGCAGCAUGACCUAGCAAUAGGUUGAUGGCGACCGGCGCACGGGUGAGUAACACGUAUCCAACCUACCGGUUAUUCCGGGAUAGCCUUUCGAAAGAAAGAUUAAUACCGGAUAGUAUAACGAGAAGGCAUCUUCUUGUUAUUAAAGAAUUUCGAUAACCGAUGGGGAUGCGUUCCAUUAGUUUGUUGGCGGGUAACGGUCC
RNAcentral lists this ribosomal RNA (254 nucleotides) under uncultured bacterium. RNAcentral describes it as "partial 16S ribosomal RNA". It matches the Rfam family "Bacterial small subunit ribosomal RNA", at positions 15 to 266 of the family's 1533-position model. The record is from RNAcentral.